Molecule: long non-coding RNA, 310 nt
Organism: Oreochromis niloticus (Nile tilapia)
Lineage: Eukaryota; Metazoa; Chordata; Actinopteri; Cichliformes; Cichlidae
Exons: 2
Source: RefSeq, a predicted model, not a curated record
UUCUCCAGUCUGUACUCUCCUGUGUCAUGGUUUACAAUGAGGAUGCACUCUUUCAUAUAAGGCCUCUUGGAUCCCUUGAAGACCGUUACAGGAGCACUGGAACCCUAAAAAGCAAAAUAAAUAAAGUUGAGAUCAGCAACAGUUGAGAUCUAUUGCGGAUUGCAAACACUCAUCCAAGUUAAAAACAUGAGCUCAGUGUCCUAAGCUCUAAAAGAGCUCUUGAAACAAGACUGCACCAUAAUCCACCUCUGAAAUCCACAUUUAUGUCUUCCAGUGUAAAGCUCUAGAGCACCAGACACUAACCUCUAAA